UGCCCCAGUAACGGCGAGUGAAGCGGCAACAGCUCAAAUUUGAAAUCUGGCCCUCGGGUCCGAGUUGUAAUUUGUAGAGGAUGCUUUUGGCGCGGUGCCUUCCGAGUGCCCUGGAACGGGACGCCAUAGAGGGUGAGAGCCCCGUCUGGUUGGACACCAAGCCUCUGUAAAGCUCCUUCGACGAGUCGAGUAGUUUGGGAAUGCUGCUCUAAAUGGGAGGUAUAUGUCUUCUAAAGCUAAAUACCGGCCAGAGACCGAUAGCGCACAAGUAGAGUGAUCGAAAGAUGAAAAGCACUUUGAAAAGAGGGUUAAACAGUACGUGAAAUUGUUAAAAGGGAAGCGUUUAUGACCAGACUUGAGCUUGGUUGAUCAUCCGGCGUUCUCGCCGGUGCACUCUUCCGGCUCAGGCCAGCAUCAGUUCGUCGCGGGGGAUAAAGGCAGCGGGAACGUGGCUCCUCGGAGUGUUAUAGCCCGCUGUGUAAUACCCUGCCUCGGACUGAGGUUCGCGCUUCCGCAAGGAUGCUGGCGUAAUGGUCAUCAACGACCCGUCUUGAAACACGGACCAAGGAGUCGUCUUCGUAUGCGAGUGUUCGGGUGUCAAACCCCUACGCGUAAUGAAAGUGAACGCAGGUGAGAGCUUCGGCGCAUCACCGACCGAUCCUGAUGUUCUCGGAUGGAUUUGAGUAAGAGCAUACGGGGCCGGACCCGAAAGAAGGUGAACUAUGCCUGUAUAGGGUGAAGCCAGGGGAAACCCUGGUGGAGGCUCGCAGCGGUUCUGACGUGCAAAUCGAUCGUCA
Molecule: ribosomal RNA, 797 nt
Filed under: Trichonectriella everniae
Lineage: Eukaryota; Fungi; Ascomycota; Sordariomycetes; Hypocreales; Trichonectriaceae
Description: Cylindromonium everniae partial large subunit ribosomal RNA
Rfam family: Eukaryotic large subunit ribosomal RNA
Source: RNAcentral